ACGGAGGGUGCGAGCGUUAAUCGGAAUUACUGGGCGUAAAGCGCACGCAGGCGGUUUGUUAAGCUAGAUGUGAAAGCCCCGGGCUCAACCUGGGAAUAGCAUUUAGAACUGGCAGGCUAGAGUCUUGGAGAGGGGAGUGGAAUUUCUGGUGUAGCGGUGAAAUGCGUAGAUAUCAGAAGGAACAUCAGUGGCGAAGGCGACUCCCUGGCCAAAGACUGACGCUCAUGUGCGAAAGUGUGGGUAGCGAACAGG
RNAcentral lists this ribosomal RNA (252 nucleotides) under uncultured bacterium. RNAcentral describes it as "partial 16S ribosomal RNA". It matches the Rfam family "Bacterial small subunit ribosomal RNA", at positions 525 to 776 of the family's 1533-position model. The record is from RNAcentral.